AAUCCGUGUUGUGGACACUUUGAAAGAGAUCCUUGAAUCACUCUGACGUCUCAAAGAAAGAUUCAAGCUCCAUCUGAACAAAUGAUGAUAUCUCAUUAUGAAGCUU
This is a small nucleolar RNA of Dioscorea cayenensis subsp. rotundata (Guinea yam), 106 nucleotides long. The record is from RefSeq and is a predicted model, not a curated record. Lineage: Eukaryota; Viridiplantae; Streptophyta; Magnoliopsida; Dioscoreales; Dioscoreaceae.